GGAUGUGAGGGCGAUCUGGCUGCGACAUCUGUCACCCCAUUGAUCGCCAGGGUUGAUUCGGCUGAUCUGGCUGGCUAGGCGGGUGUCCCCCUCCUCCCUCACCGAUCCAUGUGCGUCCCUCCUGAAGCUGCGCGCUCGGUCGAAGAGGACGACCUUCCCCCCCCCGAGGAGAGGACCGGUCUUCGGUCAAGGGUAUACGAGUAGCUGCGCUCCCCUGCUAGAACCUCCAAACAAGCUCUCAAGAAUAAAUAUUAUCUUUGAAUAUUUUCCAAUGAAAAGUUAUUAUAAUUAAUAUAGUAUUUUUAUUAUAAUU
RNAcentral lists this small nuclear RNA (313 nucleotides) under Myotis davidii. RNAcentral describes it as "7SK RNA". It matches the Rfam family "7SK RNA". From Rfam's summary of the family: 7SK was discovered as an abundant small nuclear RNA in the mid-70s but a possible function has only recently been suggested. Two independent studies have found that 7SK RNA binds the CDK9/cyclin T complex (known as elongation factor P-TEFb). P-TEFb activates transcription by phosphorylating the C-terminal domain of RNA polymerase II. The record is from Rfam by way of RNAcentral. Lineage: Eukaryota; Metazoa; Chordata; Mammalia; Chiroptera; Vespertilionidae.